AGUGAACGCUGGCGAUAGGCCUAACACAUGCAAGUCGAACGGCAGCACAGUAAGAGCUUGCUCUUACGGGUGGCGAGUGGCGGACGGGUGAGGAAUACAUCGGAAUCUACUUUUUCGUGGGGGAUAACGUAGGGAAACUUACGCUAAUACCGCAUACGACCUACGGGUGAAAGCAGGGGAUCUUCGGACCUUGCGCGAUUGAAUGAGCCGAUGUCGGAUUAGCUAGUUGGCGGGGUAAAGGCCCACCAAGGCGACGAUCCGUAGCUGGUCUGAGAGGAUGAUCAGCCACACUGGAACUGAGACACGGUCCAGACUCCUACGGGAGGCAGCAGUGGGGAAUAUUGGACAAUGGGCGCAAGCCUGAUCCAGCCAUACCGCGUGGGUGAAGAAGGCCUUCGGGUGGUAAAGCCCUUUUGUUGGGAAAGAAAAGCAGCAGGUUAAUACCCCGCUGUUCUGACGGUACCCAAAGAAUAAGCACCGGCUAACUUCGU
This 491-nucleotide ribosomal RNA is filed under the name uncultured bacterium. Its description in RNAcentral is "partial 16S ribosomal RNA". It matches the Rfam family "Bacterial small subunit ribosomal RNA", at positions 29 to 506 of the family's 1533-position model. The record is from RNAcentral.